RNAcentral lists this ribosomal RNA (254 nucleotides) under uncultured bacterium. RNAcentral describes it as "partial 16S ribosomal RNA". It matches the Rfam family "Bacterial small subunit ribosomal RNA", at positions 524 to 776 of the family's 1533-position model. The record is from RNAcentral.
UACGAGGGGGAGCUAGCGUUAUUCGGAAUUACUGGGCGUAAAGCGCACGUAGGCGGCUUUGUAAGUAAGGGGUGAAAGCCCAGAGCUCAACUCUGGAAUUGCCUUUUAGACUGCAUCGCUUGAAUCCAGGAGAGGUGAGUGGAAUUCCGAGUGUAGAGGUGAAAUUCGUAGAUAUUCGGAAGAACACCGAUGGCGAAGGCAGCCAUCUGGACCGACACUGACGCUGAGGCGCGAAAGCGUGGGGAGCAAACAGG